GAUGAACGCUGACAGAAUGCUUAACACAUGCAAGUCUUUGGCGAAGCUGUGCUUGCACAGCCUAGCCAAGGCGGACGGGUGAGUAACGCGUAAGGAACUUGCCCUGCAGUCAGGGAUAACAGACGGAAACGACUGAUAAGACCUGGUAAAGUCAGGCGGACUCAUGUCCAGCCUGAUGAAAAGGGAUGCUGCAGGAGAGCCUUGCGUCCUAUUAGCUUGUUGGUGGGGUAACGGCCCACCAAGGCGAUGAUAGGUAGCCGGCCUGAGAGGGUGGACGGCCACAAGGGGACUGAGAUACGGCCCUUACUCCUACGGGAGGCAGCAGUGGGGAAUAUUGGACAAUGGGGGCAACCCUGAUCCAGCAAUUCUGUGUGCACGAUGAAGGUUUUCGGAUUGUAAAGUGCUUUCAGCAGGGAAGAAAAAAAUGACGGUACCUGCAGAAGAAGCGACGGCUAAAUACGUG
RNAcentral lists this ribosomal RNA (463 nucleotides) under uncultured bacterium. RNAcentral describes it as "partial 16S ribosomal RNA". It matches the Rfam family "Bacterial small subunit ribosomal RNA", at positions 28 to 507 of the family's 1533-position model. The record is from RNAcentral.